UAGGGAAUAUUGCAAAAUGGGCGAAAGCCCGAUGCAGCAACGCCGCGUGGGCGAUGAAGGCCUUCGGGUCGUAAAGCCCUUUUUGAGGGGAUGAGGAAGGACAGUACUCUCAGAAUAAGCCUCGGCUAACUACGUGCCAGCAGCCGCGGUAAAACGUAGGAGGCGAGCGUUAUCCGGAUUUACUGGGCGUAAAGCGCGUGCAGGCGGAUUGGAGAGUUGGAUGUGAAAGCUCCCGGCUUAACUGGGAGAGGUCGUUCAAUACUUCCAGUCUUGAGUGCAGUAGAGGGAAGUGGAAUUCCGGGUGUAGUGGUGAAAUGCGUAGAUAUCCGGAGGAACACCAGUGGCGAAAGCGGCUUCCUGGACUGUAACUGACGCUCAGACGCGAAAGCUAGGGU
This 395-nucleotide ribosomal RNA is filed under the name uncultured bacterium. RNAcentral describes it as "bacterial SSU rRNA". It matches the Rfam family "Bacterial small subunit ribosomal RNA", at positions 355 to 766 of the family's 1533-position model. The record is from RNAcentral.